CCUACGGGAGGCAGCAGUAGGGAAUUUUGCGCAAUGGGCGAAAGUCUGACGCAGCAACACAGCGGGAAUGUUAAGCCCUUCGGGGUGUAAAGUUCUGUCAAUAGGGACGAAUUUUGACUGUACCUAUAAAGGAAGCACCGGCUAACUCAGUGCCAGCAGCCGCGGUAAUACGGGGGGUGCAAGCGUUGGCCGGAAUCAGUGGGCGGAAAGCGUUCGUAGGCGGCACAGUAAGUCUGAUGUUAAACCCCGGGGACCAAAUACGGUUCGGCAUUGGAUACUAUCUAGCUAGAAUGGGGGAGGGGUAAAGGGAAUUCCUGGUGUAGCGGUGAAAUGCGUAGAUAUCAGGAGGAACAUCGGUGGCGAAAGCGCUUUACUGGACCAUUAUUGACGCUGAGGAACGAAAGCCAGGGGAGCAAAUGGGAUUAGAGACCCUAGUAGUC
This 440-nucleotide ribosomal RNA is filed under the name uncultured bacterium. RNAcentral's name for it is "partial 16S ribosomal RNA". It matches the Rfam family "Bacterial small subunit ribosomal RNA", at positions 338 to 795 of the family's 1533-position model. The record is from RNAcentral.